This 497-nucleotide ribosomal RNA is filed under the name uncultured bacterium. RNAcentral's name for it is "partial 16S ribosomal RNA". It matches the Rfam family "Bacterial small subunit ribosomal RNA", at positions 28 to 507 of the family's 1533-position model. The record is from RNAcentral.
GAUGAACGCUGGCGGCGUGCCUAAUACAUGCAAGUCGAGCGAACAGAUGAGGAGCUUGCUCCUCUGACGUUAGCGGCGGACGGGUGAGUAACACGUGGAUAACCUACCUAUAAGACUGGGAUAACUUCGGGAAACCGGAGCUAAUACCGGAUAAUAUAUUGAACCGCAUGGUUCAAUAGUGAAAGACGGUUUUGCUGUGACUUAUAGAUGGAUCAGCGCCUCAUUAACUAGUUGGUAAGGUAACGGAUUACCAAGGCAACGACGCGUAGCCGACCUGAGCGGGACGUCGGCCACACUGGAACUGAGACUCGGUCCAGACUCCUACGGGGGGCAGCGGUAGGGAAUCUUCCGCAAUGGACGAAAGCCGGACGGAGCAACGCCGCGUGAGUGAUGAAGGUCUUCGGAUCGUAAAACUAUGUUAUUAGUGAAGAACAAAUGUGUAAGUAACUAGGCACGUCUUGACGGUACCUAAUCAGAAAGCCACGGCUAACUACGUG